RNAcentral lists this ribosomal RNA (503 nucleotides) under uncultured bacterium. RNAcentral's name for it is "bacterial SSU rRNA". It matches the Rfam family "Bacterial small subunit ribosomal RNA", at positions 28 to 523 of the family's 1533-position model. The record is from RNAcentral.
GACGAACGCUGGCGGCGUGGAUUAGGCAUGCAAGUCGAACGGUAUCAUCCUUUCGGGGGUGAGAGAGUGGCGAACUGGUGAGUAACACGUAGGUUAUCUACCCUCAAGACGGGGACAACCCAGGGAAACUUGGGCUAAUACCGGAUGUGAGCAACUUUUAGUUGUUUGAAAGGUGGCGUAAGCUGUCGCUUGGGGAUGAGCCUGCGUCCUAUUAGCUAGUUGGUGAGGUAACGGCUCACCUAGGCAAUGAUAGGUAGGCGGCCUUAACGGGUGGUCGCCCACACUGGGAUUGAGAUACGGCCCAGACUCCUACGGGAGGCAGCAGUCGAGAAUAGUCUACAAUGGUCGGAAGACUGAUAGUGCGACGCCGCGUGAACGAUGAAUCCCUUCGGGGUGUAAAGUUCUUUUAUAUGUGAGCAGUGCUUCUUAUAUUAACAGUAUGGGGAGAGAGAUAUUAGCAUAUGAAUAAGCAACGGCUAACUCCGUGCCAGCAGCCGCGGUAA